CAGUAGCCACGGUAAUACGAGGGGGGCAAGCGUUGUUCGGAAUUAUUGGGCGUAAAGGGCGCGUAGGCGGUUUGGCAAGUUUCGUGUGAAAUCUUCGGGCUCAACUCGAAGUCUGCACGGAAAACUGCCGGGCUUGAGUAUGGGAGAGGUGAGUGGAAUUUCCGGUGUAGCGGUGAAAUGCGUAGAUAUCGGAAGGAACACCUGUGGCGAAAGCGGCUCACUGGACCAUUACUGACGCUGAGGCGCGAAAGCUAGGGGAGCAAACAGGAUUAGAUACCCCCGUAGUCCCUGUCUCUUAUAC
This 301-nucleotide ribosomal RNA is filed under the name uncultured bacterium. RNAcentral's name for it is "partial 16S ribosomal RNA". It matches the Rfam family "Bacterial small subunit ribosomal RNA", at positions 509 to 807 of the family's 1533-position model. The record is from RNAcentral.